Vespula vulgaris is the source of this 2026-nucleotide long non-coding RNA. RefSeq lists it as uncharacterized. The record is from RefSeq and is a predicted model, not a curated record. The transcript is spliced from 3 exons. NCBI's taxonomy places the organism in Eukaryota, Metazoa, Arthropoda, Insecta, Hymenoptera, Vespidae.
AAAAAAUUUGAUAAUAAUGCAGUCCUGCUUCACUUAUUCGCAUAUGUAAAUGACGAUGACGACACGAUCCUGUACUGUCGCGAAAUUAGAUUCAUCAUUUAUUUUUUGAGAUUCCAACUUUCAUAGCAGAUUUAAUUCUACAAGUAGUAGUCUUCUACGUUAGAUUCAGUGAGUAAUGAUAUGAGAAGACUAAAGAUAGAACGUAGAAUCAUAUGAUUUUGACUUAUAAUUAUUAAGAUAUAAUUAAUCGUGUUUUCUUGCUUUUAAGGAAUAAAUAAGCUAAAAUCCGUUUUAAUAGAAUCUUCGACUAAAAGGUGAAUUAAUUGAUUAAUGAUUAAGUGAAUUAAUAGGGUGAAUGGAAUAUCCAUAUCUUAUAGGUACUUGAAUUCGUUUUCUGGAAUCUUUUUUUUUAUUUUCUCCGGAUUUUUAGAAAUUCAUAAUUUUUUUUCUUUUUCAAUCAUGUGAGUUAUGAAAUUGAAUAAAAUAACGUAAUAAAUAAAUACGAAAGAGAAAUGAUAUCUAUAUCCAUUUAUUUAUAUACUUAUCCUUUUUUUAUUUAUUUUUAUCAAUCAAUUAACCGAAUGCGUGAUAAAAUGAAAUCAAAAUAAUAUCCGAGGGUAUUUUUCUAUCUGUUUGAUAAAUACGAAUUAAAGGGAUAUAAAGGGUAUUAUAAUAAUAUUGCAAGAAAUAAAUUGAAGAUAUAAGUUAAGAUUUAGAAGAUAGUAAACGAAAUUAAGGCAGAAAAUACUUAUGGGUAUCGAGAGGAACAAAAGAGGGCGCAAUAUUGUGGCGUUUAUGAAGUCGACGAGAAACAAGUAUCAAUAGUGAUGAAAUAGUCGAUAGCAACAAGAGGACGAGGGAAGAUGUAAACGGAUACGAAGGACAAAAACAGCGAUAGUUAGAACGUGAGAUGUUGCGCUUAAUACUAAAAGACAAUAUUAAAUAUUUAUAGUAUUCAGCUUUUAGGUCAAAUAUUCGUAUGAGAAUAAUGCUUAGUGAAAUAAACAGUUACCGCACGUAUCGAUCUAAUAUUCGUUUAUUCUUCUACGGAGCAAAACCUGUUUUUUUUUUGUAAUAUGAAAAAAGAAAUAGAUAAUUAUGGUCGUGUUAUUUCAUAGAGGUGAAUUAGCGGAAAUAGUUCUAAAAUAUUGUAAUAAUAUGUAAAAUAGGCCUGGAAAUAUGGUGGAUACGAGGUUAACUAUUUGGAAAACUUUAAAAUAGAAAAUAACUUAUUCUUAUUGAAAGAAUUUGCUUAUUGUGAUAUGACAGAUAAUCAGAUAGCGAAUUAUUUUUUUCUAUCACCAUUCAACGUAGACUAGUUAUUACGAAAGAUAUUUAUUACGAAUAGGAGUAAGAUGGUUAACAGAUAACCAUCAUGGCCUGGAAUGGAACGACGGAUUCGUUAAUUAUAACUUAAGAUAUAAGAUUUUUGAGCAGCAUUUGAUAUGCUGAAGUAGUGUUUUAAAUAUUUACAUGAAUGGGACUAAAAAAAUUCAAUGGCUGUACGAAUUUCUAUCAGCGAAGCAUAGCAGACUCUUAUUGGAAAAACGAAUAAAAAUAUUGAACGUGGAAGAUAAAAUUCAAUAUCUGAUUUCCACGGAAUUGAACAAUAAUAAAUACCCUAAGUGUUUCCUACACAGGAACAAGAAAUUCUGUGCUCUCAAAAUCGUAGAAAUAUUAAAAAAGAAAUUAAUAGAUUAUCAAAAGGAAAAUACAACAAAGGAAUAAAUACAAGAAUAAUCUCCAUUGAAAAAAAAGAAGUAAUUCUAUAAAAUUAUAUAUUUCUAAAAGGAAGGAAAAGAAAAAUAUAUGCGUGAUGUAAAACACAUAAAGUACAAAGAUAUUUAGGAUGCGUAUAUGUGAAAAUAAAUAAACCCCAAGAUUGUGAAAAAAAAUCGAAGGGAACAAAGGAGACAGAGACAAUAAUUAGUCAGAAUGUGAAAAUUAAAAAAAAUAUAUAUAUACAUUUUAAGUGUUGAAUUGUCUCAUAUUUUUUUUUUUAAUAAUAACUAAGAUAGAUCUCUGA